UACGUAGGGGGCAAGCGUUGUCCGGAAUCAUUGGGCGUAAAGCGCGUGUAGGCGGUUGUCCAAGUUGGAUGUGAAAGCCUUGAGCUUAACUCAAGAAAUGCAUUCAGGACUGGAUGACUAGAGGACCGGAGAGGAUAGUGGAAUUCCCAGUGUAGUGGUGAAAUACGUAGAGAUUGGGAAGAACACCAGUGGCGAAGGCGGCUAUCUGGACGGUUUCUGACGCUAAGACGCGAAAGCGUGGGGAGCAAACAGG
RNAcentral lists this ribosomal RNA (253 nucleotides) under uncultured bacterium. Its description in RNAcentral is "partial 16S ribosomal RNA". It matches the Rfam family "Bacterial small subunit ribosomal RNA", at positions 524 to 776 of the family's 1533-position model. The record is from RNAcentral.